RNAcentral lists this long non-coding RNA (1013 nucleotides) under Ficedula albicollis (Collared flycatcher). RNAcentral's name for it is "lncRNA (ENSFALG00000025552.1)". The record is from RNAcentral. Lineage: Eukaryota; Metazoa; Chordata; Aves; Passeriformes; Muscicapidae.
AUGCUCUUACAUGCAAAGAGUGCCGAGGAACGAAGAGACCAGAAGGAAAACAAAACCAAGCCAAACGAACUCACGGGUCCACAAGGAUACGCUGGCUGCAGUACACACCUUGAAACUUUGUGGGUGUCUCAGUUGUGCCACAGCAGUUUGAGCAGGCAGUGCUUAGCCAGGACUCCUGGGCCAGCCUUUUCAGGGGCCACAGUGAAACACGGAAUCAUCUCGGGGAUGCUGUUCGGCCCCAGAUUUUGAAAAGAGCCUGAAAGUUGCAACAAAACAUACUGCCUGCAAUACCUCCAUGUGCUGCUGGAGUACACCUCAGCUCUCUGCUUGUCUCCCUGGAUUCUCACCAUCCUGCACCUACAGGAGUAGCCAAACAUUGCACAUUGCUGCAAGCCUGUCCAAACCAGGGGGGGCCACCCCGCUCUGAUGGGGUGUGAAAGCAUCCAUUGCUUGAAAAUCUCAAGCUGAAGCCCUAGAUUUUGAAGGUUAAAUUUUAGAGGGUGUGCAUCCUUCAUUCCUAAAUCUUCUUUCCUGCCCUGGAGGACACAGUGGAUGGAAGCUAGUUACUAAGUCUUGUUUUCUUUCCAAACAAAUCCUGGAGCUUUAAGCACACUUUUUAUUUGUCAUAUUACUUUAAAGAGUAAGAUGAAAGGGGCUGUCUUUAUGUUCCCUGUAUAUCUUAUAGCAAUUUGCCUACCCCAGGCAGGAAUGCUCGUGUUUAUAUCCUCUAUAUUUCACAUAGUACUCACUCUGUGGCCAGAGGGUCUAUGUAUUAUUGUUAUUUUUGGUUCAGCUUUCAGGGCUUGCAUAUUGCAAACAUCUUUUUUCUUUGUAAAAAGGAGACAGUAAAAAACUUUGCAUUUGACAAUGUCUAUGUCUCUCGACUCAGUGCACUUUUGGAAAGCCAUCUCCUCUGGUAUUCACACUAUAUCAUCCUCCACCACAAGACAAUUUAAAAUAAGAUAUUCCCAGUCCUGCCAGCUUUCUCUAAACAAAGCCUGUGAGUCAAGAAU